This 2901-nucleotide ribosomal RNA is filed under the name Escherichia coli. RNAcentral describes it as "bacterial LSU rRNA". It matches the Rfam family "Bacterial large subunit ribosomal RNA". Lineage: Bacteria; Pseudomonadati; Pseudomonadota; Gammaproteobacteria; Enterobacterales; Enterobacteriaceae. The record is from RNAcentral.
UUAAGCGACUAAGCGUACACGGUGGAUGCCCUGGCAGUCAGAGGCGAUGAAGGACGUGCUAAUCUGCGAUAAGCGUCGGUAAGGUGAUAUGAACCGUUAUAACCGGCGAUUUCCGAAUGGGGAAACCCAGUGUGUUUCGACACACUAUCAUUAACUGAAUCCAUAGGUUAAUGAGGCGAACCGGGGGAACUGAAACAUCUAAGUACCCCGAGGAAAAGAAAUCAACCGAGAUUCCCCCAGUAGCGGCGAGCGAACGGGGAGCAGCCCAGAGCCUGAAUCAGUAUGUGUGUUAGUGGAAGCGUCUGGAAAGGCGCGCGAUACAGGGUGACAGCCCCGUACACAAAAAUGCACAUGCUGUGAGCUCGAUGAGUAGGGCGGGACACGUGGUAUCCUGUCUGAAUAUGGGGGGACCAUCCUCCAAGGCUAAAUACUCCUGACUGACCGAUAGUGAACCAGUACCGUGAGGGAAAGGCGAAAAGAACCCCGGCGAGGGGAGUGAAAAAGAACCUGAAACCGUGUACGUACAAGCAGUGGGAGCACGCUUAGGCGUGUGACUGCGUACCUUUUGUAUAAUGGGUCAGCGACUUAUAUUCUGUAGCAAGGUUAACCGAAUAGGGGAGCCGAAGGGAAACCGAGUCUUAACUGGGCGUUAAGUUGCAGGGUAUAGACCCGAAACCCGGUGAUCUAGCCAUGGGCAGGUUGAAGGUUGGGUAACACUAACUGGAGGACCGAACCGACUAAUGUUGAAAAAUUAGCGGAUGACUUGUGGCUGGGGGUGAAAGGCCAAUCAAACCGGGAGAUAGCUGGUUCUCCCCGAAAGCUAUUUAGGUAGCGCCUCGUGAAUUCAUCUCCGGGGGUAGAGCACUGUUUCGGCAAGGGGGUCAUCCCGACUUACCAACCCGAUGCAAACUGCGAAUACCGGAGAAUGUUAUCACGGGAGACACACGGCGGGUGCUAACGUCCGUCGUGAAGAGGGAAACAACCCAGACCGCCAGCUAAGGUCCCAAAGUCAUGGUUAAGUGGGAAACGAUGUGGGAAGGCCCAGACAGCCAGGAUGUUGGCUUAGAAGCAGCCAUCAUUUAAAGAAAGCGUAAUAGCUCACUGGUCGAGUCGGCCUGCGCGGAAGAUGUAACGGGGCUAAACCAUGCACCGAAGCUGCGGCAGCGACACUAUGUGUUGUUGGGUAGGGGAGCGUUCUGUAAGCCUGUGAAGGUGUGCUGUGAGGCAUGCUGGAGGUAUCAGAAGUGCGAAUGCUGACAUAAGUAACGAUAAAGCGGGUGAAAAGCCCGCUCGCCGGAAGACCAAGGGUUCCUGUCCAACGUUAAUCGGGGCAGGGUGAGUCGACCCCUAAGGCGAGGCCGAAAGGCGUAGUCGAUGGGAAACAGGUUAAUAUUCCUGUACUUGGUGUUACUGCGAAGGGGGGACGGAGAAGGCUAUGUUGGCCGGGCGACGGUUGUCCCGGUUUAAGCGUGUAGGCUGGUUUUCCAGGCAAAUCCGGAAAAUCAAGGCUGAGGCGUGAUGACGAGGCACUACGGUGCUGAAGCAACAAAUGCCCUGCUUCCAGGAAAAGCCUCUAAGCAUCAGGUAACAUCAAAUCGUACCCCAAACCGACACAGGUGGUCAGGUAGAGAAUACCAAGGCGCUUGAGAGAACUCGGGUGAAGGAACUAGGCAAAAUGGUGCCGUAACUUCGGGAGAAGGCACGCUGAUAUGUAGGUGAAGCGACUUGCUCGUGGAGCUGAAAUCAGUCGAAGAUACCAGCUGGCUGCAACUGUUUAUUAAAAACACAGCACUGUGCAAACACGAAAGUGGACGUAUACGGUGUGACGCCUGCCCGGUGCCGGAAGGUUAAUUGAUGGGGUCAGCGCAAGCGAAGCUCUUGAUCGAAGCCCCGGUAAACGGCGGCCGUAACUAUAACGGUCCUAAGGUAGCGAAAUUCCUUGUCGGGUAAGUUCCGACCUGCACGAAUGGCGUAAUGAUGGCCAGGCUGUCUCCACCCGAGACUCAGUGAAAUUGAACUCGCUGUGAAGAUGCAGUGUACCCGCGGCAAGACGGAAAGACCCCGUGAACCUUUACUAUAGCUUGACACUGAACAUUGAGCCUUGAUGUGUAGGAUAGGUGGGAGGCUUUGAAGUGUGGACGCCAGUCUGCAUGGAGCCGACCUUGAAAUACCACCCUUUAAUGUUUGAUGUUCUAACGUGGACCCGUGAUCCGGGUUGCGGACAGUGUCUGGUGGGUAGUUUGACUGGGGCGGUCUCCUCCUAAAGAGUAACGGAGGAGCACGAAGGUUGGCUAAUCCUGGUCGGACAUCAGGAGGUUAGUGCAAUGGCAUAAGCCAGCUUGACUGCGAGCGUGACGGCGCGAGCAGGUGCGAAAGCAGGUCAUAGUGAUCCGGUGGUUCUGAAUGGAAGGGCCAUCGCUCAACGGAUAAAAGGUACUCCGGGGAUAACAGGCUGAUACCGCCCAAGAGUUCAUAUCGACGGCGGUGUUUGGCACCUCGAUGUCGGCUCAUCACAUCCUGGGGCUGAAGUAGGUCCCAAGGGUAUGGCUGUUCGCCAUUUAAAGUGGUACGCGAGCUGGGUUUAGAACGUCGUGAGACAGUUCGGUCCCUAUCUGCCGUGGGCGCUGGAGAACUGAGGGGGGCUGCUCCUAGUACGAGAGGACCGGAGUGGACGCAUCACUGGUGUUCGGGUUGUCAUGCCAAUGGCACUGCCCGGUAGCUAAAUGCGGAAGAGAUAAGUGCUGAAAGCAUCUAAGCACGAAACUUGCCCCGAGAUGAGUUCUCCCUGACUCCUUGAGAGUCCUGAAGGAACGUUGAAGACGACGACGUUGAUAGGCCGGGUGUGUAAGCGCAGCGAUGCGUUGAGCUAACCGGUACUAAUGAACCGUGAGGCUUAACCUU